GAUGUGCAUGUGCAAAUCCAGAGGGCUGAUCCAUACAUCAUUCAUUAAAUCCUGUGGAGUUUGAGCUCCACUAGCCGCUGUGAACUCCUGUCACCUGCAGCUACAGGGUUUAGUUCCCACUGAAAUGGCGUAGUUUCCAUGGUAGGGCUAUAGGACUAGACCCUGCAGAGAGCCUCCCUAUGUCCUGCACUGGGUGCUGCCCCGUCAUGCAGAUGAACCCACCAAGAUUUUCUGUAAUGAAGCAGAUCAGCAGCUUCAGUCCCAUGGCUUGUGUGGGAAUAGUAAGAUGGAGACUAGCUUUCUCUGGAAGUCAGACCCACGCCCCCUGCCAAAACCACAUCACUGUGCCCAGAGGUGGUGGCACAGCCAGCCAGCAGCAACUCCUACACAGGCUGGUAGAAAAAUAAGCAGGGAUGUUCCAGCCCUUCCUCUCAACUUGAGUUCGGGGGAAUUAAAAAAUAAAAAUAAAAAAGUAUUUUCUCACAGACAAUUCCACAAAACAUUUAUCCUGAAGCUUACUCCAGCCCCAUUAAAGGGAAGGAUGAAGUAUUAAAGUAUAUCUAAAACUGGUAUCAUGUCACCUGCUUUUCAGACAGACUGAAGCUUCUAUUCAGAAGCCAGCUGUCAGCUAAUUAAUUUGCUAAGCUUGCUUCAUUUUUCCUCACUGCUUGACUGUAUUCACCUCCUAGUCUCACUCCUAAAGCUGUCUUACAGCAAAAUUUCUCAGAAAAACCCAUACUAUGAGAGAGUGGGAGCAUACUGGCUGAGGAGAGAUUCUUAACAGUUAAAAAUCUUGCAAACCCCAUGAAUAAUUUUAUAACGUGUUUAUAACUGUUGACUUUUCAAAGGUUAAUAGGCAAUCCAAACACGAGGUAAAUCUGGACCAAAGGACACACUUUGCCAGGUAUUAAAUUGUCUCCAAACAGAAGUGCUCUAUCAUGGUGUUCAAAGUCUGACUUUUUUUUUUUUUUUUUUUUUUUUUUUUUCCCAAAUGGGGGUAAAUCUACCCCAUUUUUCUUGGUCCCACUGCUACAAACACUGACAGAUUUUCCUGCAGAACUCCAGUCAGGCUAGUGUUAAGACCAGAGAAAGAAACCAGUCCAUCCAAAGAUUUGCAGUGGCUGAAGCUGGCAGGGAAGUUGUCCCUUUCCUCCAACCCACAUGCCUACCCUGGUGCUCUUCCUUAGGCCAGGUGAGCUCUGCAUGGAAGAUGAAGCUUGCCCUGUUAAUCCUCUGUCAGCUGAGCUGAAUUUAUGAAGCAUGGGAUGGGUGUGAGGAAGAGGGAUGUGCACCCUGCCCCUAAUGGCAGCUGCCUGCUCUUUGAGCAGAUGGAGCCUCUUGACUGGCAACCCCACUUCAGCAUGAGCAAUGGGCUGAGAUACCACACCUGAGGAGGUCCCCAGGCAGACUCACCCCACUGUCUGUGCUUUAUCAGCAAAGCUACGAGCAGCCCCUGGUGCCCUCGUGCUCGAGCAGUGUCACCAUGCAAGGGAGCAAGUCGGUCACAGGGGAAUGCCAGAGGCCCUUAGGAGAGCUGCACACCAAAGCAAGCUGCACUACAGGAUGUUUAUUAUCCUGCUCUGGGUUAUAAGCGCUUAGUCAUGAAUUCUUUGUAGCAAGAAGGUGGCAAUGCAAAAAUAAAUGUUUACAGAUAAA
Molecule: long non-coding RNA, 1656 nt
Organism: Oxyura jamaicensis (ruddy duck)
Lineage: Eukaryota; Metazoa; Chordata; Aves; Anseriformes; Anatidae
Exons: 2
Source: RefSeq, a predicted model, not a curated record